UUUCACUGUGUGCCAGGCUCUGCCCUCAGCCAUGGAAACUCACGGCCAAGUAGAAGGGCCAGCUGUCGUCAUUCAGCCCUGAUCAUCCUCAAGUGAGGCCUUCUGAGGAUUUGACCCACCUGGGUCAAGGCUAAGCCGAAGCAAUAAGAGUGGAGAGAAAGAGAACUCUCCUCUUUCUCUCCCUCCUCCUUUCCUGCGGCUCCCUUCUCUUGUCCCUUCCAAUCCCACUGCCUCCUCUUCUCUCUUUUUCUGGAGCCCCUCUCUUCUCUGACUCUGAGCUCCCGGAGGAGAGGAGGCAGUUGUUUAUAAAGCCACCUGCCAAAACCUCCCUAGGGACCCUACUGGGAGGUGUGCAGAUGGGUGGGUGGGACGGAAAGUCAUCACCUGCAGGGUUGUGGGAGACAUUUCUAUUAAUUUGAGGGAAAGGUAUGCAGAGAGCCAGAGACAUGGGGGAGAGAAUACCCUAGAGGGAUUCAGGUCUUGGAAGCCUUGGAAACACCAGUUUGACUCAGUUUUGGGGCUGUUGAUUUUUUGUGCUCAACUGCCCACAGGAAACAGGGUCUCCGUUAGAGCCCUCAGCUAGCCCCCGGAGACCUUCAGAGAGCCUCUGGAUCAGUCCACAGGCAGUGAACAGGCUCUGCAUCAGGCUGGGGCUUCCCGUGGGAAGCGUCUCGCUCAGGGUCUGGUCCCCCACACCCCUCCUUCCCCCUUAACUUGAUCCUUGAAGCCCCCAGUUCGCUUGUUUCUUUUUAGAUGUAAUUAUGCUUUCCCUCUCCCUGCCCAGCAAGGCCAGCGGCCAGGACCCUGGUGAAGUCCAGAGUGGGAGCCCAGGAAGGGGCCAUCCCACCCACAAACGAGAAUCGGAUACUCCAGUGGAAAGCGCCCGCGGAAGUUUCAGGUUACUGAACUUUUCCACAGAAAUCCUGACCCAAAUUUCUUGGCCUCAGGCGGUUUACAACACAAACCCCCGCCUAAAUGAAGCCUCGCGGCGCCCCCCGCCGUCCCCAGCCCCGGGUGUACGCGCGCUCACGCCGGCGUUCCCCUCCCACCCUCGCGCCGCUCCCUCGCCGCCUCGCGCGUGCCGCCCGUGUCUGGACAGCGAUUUCUUCUGCUGUUUGGAUACAGCUCUCUUCUCUCCUUCUUUGUUAGUCCCUGGUCUGCCGUCUCUGGAGGGGGCAUUGAUGUCUCGGGAAUACUAGCACACCCUCUUCAUUCAGCUGAACGCGGGACUCUACAUUAAUUCAAGGGGUCUUUGAUGGCCUUUGGUUCCUGGUAUCAGACACUGGCUCAAGACAAUGCACUGUGCUAGAAUCUGAUUGGAUUUACUCGGUUUGCGGUUGCACGAGACCUGGUUAUCUCAAGGUAAGAGUCAAUAAGUACAUCUGAUUAACUGAUUUGACCUGGGGCACUUUGAGGGGUCCUGUUGUAAUCUUGUUGUUUUCCUCUGCUUUUCUCAUUUAUUCCUCUUUUUUGCAACUUGAGAAGUAAAAUAGCAGCCUACCAAGGUGAGGCCACGCUUGCAGGGAUAACAUUUGAGCCAAGGCUUCAUAAGGGCUGCUGUAGGAGGGGAGAGCAUCCUGGCACUUUCGUGGGCUACGUGGCAGACUGCAGUUGCAAGGAUUAGCAGUGUGAGCCCUGAUCCUGCUACCUCUUUGCUGUGUGACCCCAGACAACUUGCUUCACUUCUCUAAACCUGAGACCUGCCUCACAAAAAUGAAGAGGAAGCAUAUAUGCCUUUAUGUUGGGUAACUGAAGAGUAAUAGACUAAUACUGAUAAUAGUAGUGGCUAUCAUCCCUUGAAGACCCUUGUGGUGCUUGGCACUUAACCUGUGUGAUCUAUAAUUCUCAUAAGCAGCCAUCUAGGGGUACUUUUAUUUCCAUUUCAUAAGUAAAGGGGCAAUGGCAUGGAGGUUUGCAUCCCUUGAAACGUGCUCUUCUUUCUGUUUUGUGAUUCUGUGUCUGUGGUAAAGGAGGCCUUCCCUGCCUAACAUGUCCUGUUAGCUACUUUUGGAGCUACCAACAGGGGUGGGCCUAGACCGGGCCGUGGAUACCUGGCUUCCUGGGACACCUCUGUGUCUCCUACCUCUCCCAUCCCUGGAGGUUGCCAUUCAAAAGAGUACUGUGGUUGCACCUUCUGCAUUUGGGUGCCCUGUCACUCAUCAGGAUCAAGGCAAGUUCUCAGCAAAAUUUAGAAUUUGUCAAGAUCUUUGGCCUGGUGCCUCAUCCAAAGUGCUGUUUAAGAAGCUCUUUUUUGAGUUGAAUUGGCACUGUGUCAUCUCUCCUUUCAAACUAAGUUCUUUUUUUUUCCUGUUUGGGCUCCAGGAAUUUUUUUCUCAGCUUUUCCCAGGACAUCCUGGAUAUUUAUUUUUGCUGUGCACUUUAACCUUGCAAAACAUUUAGGGAUCUCUAGCUUGUCAUCUCAAGGGGGUAUAGAAAUUGGAGUUGUAGAAGAAAUUAAUAAAAAUAAAGCUUGAAACUUUCCAG
RNAcentral lists this long non-coding RNA (2484 nucleotides) under Papio anubis (olive baboon). Its description in RNAcentral is "lncRNA (ENSPANG00000046143.1)". The record is from RNAcentral. Lineage: Eukaryota; Metazoa; Chordata; Mammalia; Primates; Cercopithecidae.